Molecule: ribosomal RNA, 587 nt
Filed under: uncultured bacterium
Lineage: Bacteria
Description: partial 16S ribosomal RNA
Rfam family: Bacterial small subunit ribosomal RNA
Source: RNAcentral
UGGGGAAUUUUGGACAAUGGGCGAAAGCCUGAUCCAGCAAUGCCGCGUGUGUGAAGAAGGCCUUCGGGUUGUAAAGCACUUUUGUCCGGAAAGAAAUCCUUGGCUCUAAUACAGUCGGGGGAUGACGGUACCGGAAGAAUAAGCACCGGCUAACUACGUGCCAGCAGCCGCGGUAAUACGUAGGGUGCAAGCGUUAAUCGGAAUUACUGGGCGUAAAGCGUGCGCAGGCGGUUUGCUAAGACCGAUGUGAAAUCCCCGGGCUCAACCUGGGAACUGCAUUGGUGACUGGCAGGCUAGAGUAUGGCAGAGGGGGGUAGAAUUCCACGUGUAGCAGUGAAAUGCGUAGAGAUGUGGAGGAAUACCGAUGGCGAAGGCAGCCCCCUGGGCCAAUACUGACGCUCAUGCACGAAAGCGUGGGGAGCAAACAGGAUUAGAUACCCUGGUAGUCCACGCCCUAAAACGAUGUCAACUAGUUGUUGGGGAUUCAUUUCCUUAGUAACGUAGCUAACGCGUGAAGUUGACCGCCUGGGGAGUACGGUCGCAAAGAUUAAAACUUAAAGGAAUUGACGGGGUCAUAGCUGUUUCCU